This is a long non-coding RNA of Haplochromis burtoni (Burton's mouthbrooder), 768 nucleotides long. RefSeq lists it as uncharacterized. The record is from RefSeq and is a predicted model, not a curated record. NCBI's taxonomy places the organism in Eukaryota, Metazoa, Chordata, Actinopteri, Cichliformes, Cichlidae. The transcript has 3 exons.
UCUAGAGACAAAUUUGAGGCCAUCUGUCUCAAAGCUGAAGCUUAAAGUGGAUUAUGCAGCAGGACGGUUAUCCCAGACACAUCAACAAAUCUACAAAGAAAGUAAUCAGGGUAUCACAAUGGCGAGUGGGCCAAAAUUCCUGCACACCAAUUUCUCACACACCAAUAUGAGAAGCUGAUCAAGUAAUACAGAAAAUGAUUACUUCAGGUUUUUGCUACUAAAAGUGAAUCUGCAAACUAUUGAACUCAUAGUAUUUAAAUGUAAGAUGUAAAAAAUAUUUUACUUUAUUUUUCACAUAAAUGUAUAACUCUAGUAUACUUUAUUCUCUCAUAAGACAUAAUUUAUACUGUGAUUAAAAGGAUAAACAGUAAACAGUGUGAGGUCUUUCACUGCUGUUCAUCUGUUUACUUCAGAUUUGGCAUCUUCAGGAUCAGUGUUGCCUGUUUACAGCAGACCCCAAAGCAAGCCGGAUUCAUGGUGAUAUUUCUGCAUGCGCAUAUUCCCCUGCAAUGAAGUCUCUGUAUAUUGCAGCGGACUGUAUGACUAUGCUCCCUCUGAAGUUAAGGCAGCGGCUUCACCGUCACUUCACUGUUUCUCAUAAUGAGCCUGUUUUGUGCUGCGGUUACAGUAAGGAGUUUCGUCAGGUAGUCAGCUGCACUGAAGGAUCUGUUGUGAGAAUCUGGGAUUUUGACACUGGGUGUCAACUUUUUGAGUUUGGUGGCUCUCACGAACUGUCUUCUAUCACUUGUUUGACAUUUGAUCCCAAAG